AUGACGGAACCUUUCCCGUUUCAGUAUGACCAUAGGAACUUGGCAAAUGUAUUUGAUGUACUACUUGAUUUAACAUCUAUGCUUCCGAAUGUUUAUUAUAAAGAAAUUACCAAGGAAUAUGGAUAUGAGAGAUCACUUUGCUGUGCUAUAAAUGAUCGAUUAAAAUACAUAUUUCUUUUGUCUCCUGGUACUUUCUUAUCCCAGUGCUGUGCUGAGCCAUAUUGGAGCCUAAGGCAAAAGGGACCAUCAGUAACACUAAUCCUGUCUUUAUUUAAAAUUUUGAUAUUUUGUUCAUCAUGGAUUUAUUUGCAUAAAUUUUAAUAUUGAAAUCUAUUGAUUAAAAUAUUAUGUAUCUUGAUUACUGAGUUUUUCGUUAUCCCUUCUAUUCUUGAGACAAUGACUCAUUUAUCUGACCCUACUCUCUGCUCUCAUUACUCCUUCAAAACUACGUGUAUCUCCGGUCUUAGAACAUCCAAGCAACUUUAUAUUCCAAGUUAUUUAAAAGCAUGAUGAAUUUAGAAAAUAUCCACAUCACAGCUUUGGUAACUUCCAUUCCUCACAUUUGUAGGUAGAAACAUACCUACUCUUCUUUGCCUUUGUCUUCCGGGGAAAAAUAAAUAGUGCUGCUCCAAUUUUUGGCAUAUAAAAUUAUAAAUACCGUCUACUUUAUUGCACACCUUCUGAAAGUCUGAUCUCAAUUUAAUUAUAAUUAACAACCCAAAUCUUCUAUUAAUCAGUUCCUAGGUGUAGGGGAAUAAACUUGGGGCAGAGAUUGCAUCUAGUCUAGUUCAGCUUGAUAAAAAUACAUAUUCACUAACUUACUGAAUUCUAAUAUGGAAUUUCCCAAAGCGUAUUUCAGCAAGGAGAAUGAUCAUAAGGUCAGGGGGGAAAAAAGUAAUAAAAUUAGUUGGACAGUAAAGAUCUGAAGGAAACUUAAGAGAUUCUUUAUUUCAGAACUUAGUGCCUCUAAUAUGCUAAUGUUCUUUAGUAAUACAGAAAAUAACCUUAUAAAAUGCAGUGUUUUUUAAACAGAUCUAACUACAAAAACUUUAUAUAUAUAUAUAUCUGCAUGUAUGUGAG
Molecule: long non-coding RNA, 1080 nt
Filed under: Pan paniscus (pygmy chimpanzee)
Lineage: Eukaryota; Metazoa; Chordata; Mammalia; Primates; Hominidae
Description: lncRNA (ENSPPAG00000044678.1)
Source: RNAcentral